RNAcentral lists this ribosomal RNA (400 nucleotides) under uncultured bacterium. RNAcentral's name for it is "bacterial SSU rRNA". It matches the Rfam family "Bacterial small subunit ribosomal RNA", at positions 365 to 758 of the family's 1533-position model. The record is from RNAcentral.
GGCCUAGACGAGGGAACCCUGAGCAGCCCGCCGAGAGAGUGAGGAAGGCCUUCGGGUCGUAAAGCUCUGUCACCCGGGAAGAACAAGCAGUGGGGGAAAGUUCCAUUGCCCUGAUUGUACCGGGGAAGGAAGCACCGGCUAACUCUGUGCCAGCAGCCGCGGUAAUACAGAGGGUGCAAGCGUUGUUCGGAUUUACUGGGCGUAAAGCGUGCGUAGGCUGUAUUGAGAGUCGCGGGUGAAAUCCCAGGGCUUAACCCUGGAACUGCCUGCGAGACCUCAGUACUAGAGUGUGAGAGGGGAUAGUGGAAUUCCAGGUGUAGCGGUGAAAUGCGUAGAGAUCUGGAGGAACACCGGUGGCGAAGGCGGCUAUCUGGCUCACAACUGACGCUCAGGCACGAAA